This 2038-nucleotide long non-coding RNA is filed under the name Heterocephalus glaber (naked mole-rat). RNAcentral's name for it is "lncRNA (ENSHGLG00100045177.1)". The record is from RNAcentral. Lineage: Eukaryota; Metazoa; Chordata; Mammalia; Rodentia; Bathyergidae.
CAGCUCCACCAGCCUCGCCUCCCUCGCUAAUUACAGACCUUCCCUGGGGAGGAAGGCCUGGCCAGGAGGCCCUCAUUACGGGCUGCAAACCCCGAUGACCAAACCCGGGGACUGGAGUGUGGCGCUCUGGAAGCCACGCCCAGGGCUCCUGCUCAGCCCCGCUGUGCCCUCGGGAACAAGGUUGAGAAGCGGCCGGCUGGACGGAGGCCUGGGCCUACACAGCCUCGCCCUCAGAGAUGGGCUUUGAUGUGGGUCUGCCUGGGGGGUAAUCAUGGGUUCCGAGGCCCUGUCUGGGCUCUGCCCACGGCCCCCAGCCCAGGCCACCAGAGCCAGCCCCUGAGGAUGACCUUGGCAGACGGGGCAGGGACAGAGGAUCAUCGGAGGACUUGGAAGAGGAGCUCUAAGGCCACACUUCCUCAUUGUUCACACACUCGUCUCCUCACGAGGAGCAAACAGCAAAGGUCUUUCUAUGUAGUCCAGGCUGGCCUUGAACUCAUGGUGAUACUCCUGUCUCAGCUUCCUGAGUGCUGGGAUUACAGACAUCACCACUAUGCCCUGCUCACUGAUGAAUUUUAAAGGAGGAAAACAACAAGGUCAGAGUGUUGGUUUUAUUUUGUAAAAAAUGCAGCUGAACCUGACUCAACUCCAGAGAAGGCGCAGCUUGCUCAGAGCCAUCAGCAUCACCAUGGCAACCAUGCCAUCCACGAGCACUUGAAAAUGUCAUUAUCAGCAGCGGCCCUGUGUGUUCCUUCUCACCGCAAGGCAAACUUGGGCCCCCACAGCUCCCUGACCCUCAGGGUGGGGGGCUGGGACUGGGCUCCCCCAGAAGCAGAGAGUCGAAAGGAGGGACUUUGGGUUUCCCUCAUCCUCAUCUUGCCUGUCUGCCUUGGACAUCCGUCUAGAAGGAGCGGAGAGCAUCUCUUUCCUGCUGGGCAGGCAGGCAGAGUGGACACUAAGCUCACACUUUCAAGGUCUGAAAGCCAUGAUUUCUCUUUGUUUCUCUCUUUUUGGAGGGGAGGUGGUUUGAGACAGAGUCUCACUAUGUAGCCCAGGCUGGCCUCAAACUCUCAGUGAUCCUCUUGCCUCAGCCUCCUGAGUGCUGGGAUUGACAAGGGUGGGGCACUGCUCCCAGCUGCCAUUUCUAUUUCUAAGGUUGUGAGGUGGGGACAGCUGCAGAGCUCCUGAGGCCUAGACUGCAAAUGUGGAUGAAGAAGAUGAGGACAAUGCUGAUGGAACCCACUGCGGGGUGUCUAUCACCAGGAGUCAGCUUUCUGAGUGUGGAUAUGAGCAGCCACUUUGGGCCACGAGGCAGGGGCCAGGCUGAGGAUGGAGAACACCAGGGCUAGGCACAGCAGGAUUAUGAAGUGGAGCAAAAUUCUGUAAGGUAAGAUGUGACAGAAAGCCAACUCAAGCUGGCUUCAACAAAAGGACACUGGCUGGCCCACAUAGCAGGAAGUCAAGAGGUAAAGUAAAUGUUAUGGACUGAAUUGUGUCCUGUUUCUUCCUCUUCUUCUUCUUUUUUUUUUUUUGGUGCCGGGGAUCGAACUUGGGUCCUUGCACUUUCGAAGCAGGCGGCGGAAUCACUGAGCUAAAUCCCCAGCCCUGUGUCCUGUUUCUUACAAUGCAGCCCAAAUCCCCAGGGUGACUCUAUUUGGAGGUGGGACUUUUUAAGGAGAUGAUUAAAGUUAAAUGAGGUGGAAUCCAAUACGAAUGGCGUUCUUAUAAGAAGAGGAAGAAUGGGCUGGGGAUUUAGCUCAGUGGCACCAUGCCUGCCUCUCAAGCACAAGGUCCUGAGUUCUAUCCUGGUACGAAAAAAAAAAAAGAAGAAGAAGAAGAGGAAGAGCUGGGUGCUGUGGUGCAUGUCUGUAAUUCAUCCCCAAAACUGGGAGGCAAGGUAAGAAGACUGGCAAGAGUUUGAGACCAUCCUGGGUUACAUAGUGAGUUCAAGGCCAGCCAGAACUACAUAAUAACAACUGUCUCAAAAAACAAACAAACAAGGAAAUCUAUGUCUCUUUCAUAUAAGAAUUUAGAAAAAGAC